Molecule: long non-coding RNA, 491 nt
Organism: Peromyscus californicus insignis
Lineage: Eukaryota; Metazoa; Chordata; Mammalia; Rodentia; Cricetidae
Exons: 3
Source: RefSeq, a predicted model, not a curated record
UGAAAUGAUUAUUCUCACUAGGUGAUAGCCGAGAAAGCUGAGACUCGCCCCAAGACACAGUCAGCAGGUGUUGGGUCACGUGAUCAGGCCUGGCCUCUGGGUGGUGCUGUUGAGCACACCAGCCGCUCCGCAAAAGGCUGACUAGCUGAAGAUGGAGGGGCAGGGCAGGUGCCCAGUCCAGAGAGGAGGGGUUGACGAUGACAAGGCGCACCCCCCCUCCCCACUCACAUGGGACUGGAUCCACCCUGAGGAGCCACGGGUCAACAUCCUGCUUCCGGCAGGCCCUCCCGGAGACCUCACAGAGGGGUGUUUGUUCGCAGUGGGCGGCGGGAGAGAUGCUAAUCGCGGUGGCUGGCUGCUCCCGGCUGAAGGUCAGGAGGUGGGCAAAGUGGAGCAUACCAGUAAUCCAGCACUCAAGAGGCAGAGACCAGAAGAUCAGGAGUUUGAGGCCAGCUCGGGCUACUUGGUAAAAGCCUGUCUCAAAAAAGGUA